Dioscorea cayenensis subsp. rotundata (Guinea yam) is the source of this 107-nucleotide small nucleolar RNA. The record is from RefSeq and is a predicted model, not a curated record. Lineage: Eukaryota; Viridiplantae; Streptophyta; Magnoliopsida; Dioscoreales; Dioscoreaceae.
AACCUAUGAUGUGGGCACUACCUAAGUAGGUCCUUGAAUCAUUCAUAUCCCUCAAACUGUGUUUCAAACUCUUCUUGCUUGAAUGCUGAGAUUUCCUGUCUAAUCUU